Helianthus annuus (common sunflower) is the source of this 2050-nucleotide long non-coding RNA. RefSeq lists it as uncharacterized. NCBI's taxonomy places the organism in Eukaryota, Viridiplantae, Streptophyta, Magnoliopsida, Asterales, Asteraceae. The record is from RefSeq and is a predicted model, not a curated record. The transcript has 5 exons.
AGACGCUACAAGGGUAGCCUAGGGAUUUCACUCCUACUGUUCCUUCAUUAUCCAUCAUCGAUUGAAAUUGAAUGCGAUCUUUUGGUAUUCGCCGUCCCCUCUACCCUAUAACCUGAUUUCCGAUUUUGAAGGAACCCGAACCGAUUUGCAGUGGAAGAAGAACUUGCAACAUGGAGAGAUUCGGAGGCGGUGGUGGUGGUGGUGAUACUCUACAACUUGAUUCGAAUUCAUCAGGGAAGAGGAAGACGGUGUGAAGGUUGUGCGAGUUGAGUUGAGAAUCUAAACAACCCAUACAUAAGUGAUACCAGCCAUGAUAGAUUUAAAUUAACGGCUAAACAAAUUGUACGCUUGGAGCUUAGUAGAAUACGAAAGGGUCAUCAUGCUUGAAUGAAAAUCUUUUUCGUAUUUAUAUAUGGAGAUGUCUUUAAUGUCUGCACUCUGAAAUUAAAGAUGGAACGAGGAACCUCGGAAGGAAAUUGAAGAGUCAAUGACUUUUGCCAAGAGACACUGUAUUUUUCCCGCCUUCCCACUCAAAUCGUAAAAGCGUACUCGACACGUUGUUUAAAAUCCAUCAGAGCUCUAAUAAAUCAUUCCAGUUUGCGUUUUACAAAUCAAUGGAAUAUGUUUUAGAGUGGCGAUUGGUACAAUUUGAUUUCUAAAAUGGAUCAACAUACUUUGCGAUUGAAUUCACAAUUUAAGUGACGAUUGGUAUGUAAGUGUAUUGUGAUUCGGUACAUCACGUACCCACACGUAAACGUAUUACUCUCACAUUGCCUUUUUGAGCAUUUUCUUUUUCCCAUAACUAAUCAAGAUGCUUUUGUUCUAAUGGCUGAAUUUUACACUUCCAGUUCUCUCAUAAACGGCUUGCUUUUUUUCUAUGGAUGUGUUAGUUUCAUAUUUUCUUACUAUCCAGUAUGUGUUUUGAAAAAUACCACAUAUAUGUUUCACUUCUAGGAUGGGAACUCUUGUGUAGUGGUAGAUUAUGUUUAGAUUUUUGGACAACUUGCGACUGUCUUUACUUUUCUUCUUUUUAUGUAAGACCCAUUAGAGAUAACAUGUAUAUUAGUCGUCUUUAGAUAUCUUUCUUUGUUCCUUCUUUUUCAGCAACAGGCCCCAAAACCUAUCAAGGAGAUCAAGAAGUUUGCACAAAAAGCCAUGGGAACCACUAACGUAAGAGUGGAAGUCAGAUUAAACAAAUACGUUUACAGCCGCGGAAUCAGAAAUGUAUCAAACACAUCGAGCUUCGUAUAGUUGAAGGGUUGACUAUAGUUCAGUCUCCACGGUCUUUUAUAGGUCAACAUAGCAGCAGCCUCUAGAGCUUCAGCACAACAUUUAUAUAAGUUUUAAGGCAUCUUCUUUGUUCUCUUAACCUGAAUAUCUAUUAUUAAUCUUAUUGCGAAUUUUGAAUGAUAUUUAAGAAAUAAGAUUGGGCAAAACAAAAUUUGUGAUCAUGUAAACACAAAUAUAGCUUAUUUCAGUCAUCACUUUCUCUUUUUAUAUUCUGAAAAUUUAACACCGUGAUACUCUUUGCUAUAUCUUUAAAACUUACUAAUUCAUAUUACCAUUGUUGCUUUUACAUUUUCAUUUCCUUUCUUUUAGGCUAAGAAGGCAACACUUGAAGACCUAGAAGAGAGGGGAAGAAGAGGUCCGAUAGAUGAUCCGAAGAAGCUCCCAAAGUAGAAUUAUGAUGGGUCUUGUGGGUUUGAGUCAUAUGGUUCUAACCAGGCUGAGUUUAGGUGACAUGGACUGUUUUAGAAAGUGGUCGACUGGUUUGGGUUAGAACGAGUUCGGGUUUGAGUGGGUUCCGGCAAAACUGAAUACGGUUCAAAUCGAAGUAUUUAAAAAAGUGGUCAUUUUGGUUUGGGCAGAACGAUUUUAUAGCGUUGGGCAGGGUAACGGGUCGUAGAAGGUUCGGGUCUCAAUGUGUUCCAACCAAAAUUGAGUACAGGUCAAAAGAUGUUGUUUUAAAUUGGGGUCAUUUGGUAGCUCUGUGCUUAUUAAAUUUUUGCAGACACAAAUGAUAUGGUUGAUAAAGCAAUCAUUUUCUUUA